CGCCUGGGGAGUACGGCCGCAAGGCUAAAACUCAAAGGAAUUGACGGGGCCCCGCACAAGCGGCGGAGCAUGCGGAUUAAUUCGAUGCAACGCGUAGAACCUUACCUGGGUUUGACAUGGAUCGGGAGUGCUCAGAGAUGGGUGUGCCUCUUUUGGGGUCGGUUCACAGGUGGUGCAUGGCUGUCGUCAGCUCGUGCCGUGAGAUGUUGGGUUAAGUCCCGCAACGAGCGCAACCCUUGUUCACUGUUGCCAGCACGUUAUGGUGGGGACUCAGUGGAGACCGCCGGGGUCAACUCGGAGGAAGGUGGGGAUGACGUCAAGUCAUCAUGCCCCUUAUGUCCAGGGCUUCACGCAUGCUACAAUGGCUGGUACAGAGAGUGGCGAGCCUGUGAGGGUGAGCGAAUCUCGGAAAGCCGGUCUCAGUUCGGAUUGGGGUCUGCAACUCGACCUCAUGAAGUCGGAGUCGCUAGUAAUCGCAGAUCAGCAACGCUGCGGUGAAUACGUUCCCGGGGCUUGUACACACCGCCCGUCAAGUCAUGAAAGUUGGUAACACCCGAAGCCGGUGGCCUAACCGUUGUGGGGGAGCCGUCGAAGGUGGGACUGGUGAUUAGGACUAAGUCGUAACAAGGUAACCGUA
Molecule: ribosomal RNA, 637 nt
Filed under: uncultured Propionibacterium sp.
Lineage: Bacteria; Bacillati; Actinomycetota; Actinomycetes; Propionibacteriales; Propionibacteriaceae
Description: bacterial SSU rRNA
Rfam family: Bacterial small subunit ribosomal RNA
Source: RNAcentral